Molecule: non-coding RNA, 30 nt
Filed under: Mus musculus (house mouse)
Lineage: Eukaryota; Metazoa; Chordata; Mammalia; Rodentia; Muridae
Source: RNAcentral
UGAUGGACUCAAACUUAACCAUGCCUUCAA